UUGUUGACUUUUAAAAAAUUAGAAUAUAAACAUGAUAUAAAUAUUAUUAAAUAAAAUAUAAUAUUAUUAAUAUAUUAAUGUAUUUUUAUUAUACAUAAAAUAUUAUUUUUAAUAAAAUAUUAUUAUAUUACUUGUACUAAUAGAAGUUAGUAAAAUUUUUAUUGAUAGUUUAUAUAUUUUUAAAAAAUAAAUUACCAACUAUAUAUAUUUUAUUUAUAUUGUCAAAAAUAAUUAUAUGUAAUCAUCAAAAAGAUAAAAUAAUUUUCAUCUUACACUAUAUAUACAAAGAAAAAAUAAAAUAAAAAUAUGUAUAUAUAUUUUUUAGUUGUAUGCGCUAUGGAUCAACAUCGAACGCACGUUUAAGAAAUGUCCAUAGCAGACACGUGUCCAAUACGGACACGCACGCACGUAUCCAACACGAAUGCGCGAGACUUAGAAAAGUGUAUGAUAUACAUAGUUAA
This 461-nucleotide long non-coding RNA is filed under the name Ananas comosus (pineapple). RNAcentral's name for it is "long non-coding RNA (ACOM_LNC025335)". The record is from RNAcentral. Lineage: Eukaryota; Viridiplantae; Streptophyta; Magnoliopsida; Poales; Bromeliaceae.